Long non-coding RNA from Prunus persica (peach), 1323 nucleotides. RefSeq lists it as uncharacterized. The transcript has 3 exons. The record is from RefSeq and is a predicted model, not a curated record. NCBI's taxonomy places the organism in Eukaryota, Viridiplantae, Streptophyta, Magnoliopsida, Rosales, Rosaceae.
UAAAAUAAGAAAGAAAAAGAGAAAAACAAUAAAAUAAAAUAAAUAGGAAAGAGAAUACUCGAAAAUUAGACACCUUGGGGAUUCGAAGGCAGGAUCAGGGAGAUGGUGAAGGCGCGCUGACCAACACAUAUAGGCACACGCUUCUGUCAAAUUCUGGCCACAACUACUAUAUAACUAGUGUAGCAGCUGCAUCUGUCAUGUGAAAAAAAUAAAAGCUAGCUAUUCUUGAACAUGCUUUGGAUCUCUUUCCAUUAGCCUCGCGGCCAGAGCCAAACACUGUCCAUUCCCAUCUCUUCUCUCAGUGCAAAACCAGCCAUCUCUGCCCUCUCCCGUCUUCAUUUCUCUCAAGAACUCAAGAGCCUUGUCCCUUUUUGCUUCUCUGUCUCAGACCUCUACCAGCACUGUCACUAGCGUCCACCUGCAUCCACGAUGUCCUUUGAUCCAUAAUAUUGAGAAGACGUUGUCUAAUGGUUUUUCGUCCAAAAAGAACAUCGAGUCACCCAAAAACCACUUGACCUGCAACAACAUAGAAUCUGCUAGUGACCUCCCGAAAAGAUUAACCACAUCUGAGAAAAGGGGUGCAGCGUCGGAUCUAACCAAUAAUCUUGUAAGGAUGAUUUCAAGAUCCGAUAUCCAUCCAAAGAUGCAAAUCCAGGAGAAGGCAGUCAACACACAAGCUCAAAGGGUAUGGAAUCACAUGGGAGUGCAAAAGGUGGAUCCGUGCUUCAUACAUGUUGGGAGAACCUACUGAUAACUCAAAAAUGCCCAUUUUCUGUGAAUGUUCUGCUGCCCAUUGUUGAGAUUCUGUAGCCAUCAUAUCAAAUAGUUCAAACGCCUCUCUUGCAGAUUUAUUUGACAACGAUCCUCCCGCUGAUGCGUUCACAUGGCUUUUAGAUGUAGGAUUAAGCCCAUCAAAGAAAAUAUUCAUAUGUGUAUCUGCAUCAAUAUUAGUAUGUGGACACUUUAUGUACAUCUCUAUAUAUCUCUCCCAUGCUUCAUGAAACUCUUCAUUAGGCUUCUGUGUGAAUGUCAAAAUCUCCCUCUUGUAAUUCAAUGUCUUGGAUGCUAGAUAAUACUUGUUCAGGAAUUUUGUAUGUAAUUGUUGCCAAGUAGUAAUGCUAUUUGCCGGUAGAGUAAACAACCAAGUUUCUGCCUUGUCCUUUAAAGUGAAAGGGAAAAGUCGUAACGUAAUAGCUUCAACAGAAAAACCCCUAAUCAAAAUAUUUUUGCAACCCACAAUAAAUUUUGCAAUAUGUAUGUUCGCAUCUUCAUUAGGCAGCCUAAGGAAUGUUGGUAAAAUCUCAAGCAUGUAGUGCUUGAUUU